GCGCACGCCCUGGAGGGGAGUUGGGGUGGGGGCUAUGGGUGAAUGGGAGAGUCAGCGGGGGCGGGCGCUGCGGCGCGAGCCGCAUGAAUGAGACAAACGUGCCCCGCGCGAGACGUCGCGCGCGCCCGGGAGAGAGAGCCAAUGGGAACGCUGGGAGGGCUCGAGACCCGGCGCUGAGGGCAACGGCCGCGCGCCGGCUCGAAGACGAGCGUCGCCGGGCGGGAGCGCGCGGAGCAGGGCGGGCGUCGAGCGUGCGGGGGCAGCGCACUGCCUCUCAGAGGCCGGACGGCACUGCCGGGAGGCGGCGGCGACAACGACGGCGGCGGUGACGGGAGCCGCGCCGGGGUACAUAGUUGUGUAUUUUUAGUUGUGGGACCUUCUAGUUGUGGCAUGUGGGAUGCUGCCUAAGCAUGGCCUGAUGAGCGGUGCCAUGUCCGCGCCCAGGAUCUGAACCGGCGAAACCCUGGGCCGCCAAAGUGGAGCGCAUGAACUUAACCAUUCGGCCAUGGGGCUGGCC
This 517-nucleotide long non-coding RNA is filed under the name Equus asinus (donkey). RNAcentral describes it as "lncRNA (ENSEASG00005024018.1)". The record is from RNAcentral. Lineage: Eukaryota; Metazoa; Chordata; Mammalia; Perissodactyla; Equidae.